GUGGGGAAUAUUGGACAAUGGGCGCAAGCCUGAUCCAGCAAUGCCGCGUGGGUGAAGAAGGCCUUCGGGUUAUAAAGCCCUUUUGUACGGGAAGAAAUCAUUAGGGUUAAUACCCUGGGUGGAUGACGGUACCGUAAGAAUAAGCACCGGCUAACUUCGUGCCAGCAGCCGCGGUAAUACGAAGGGUGCAAGCGUUAAUCGGAAUUACUGGGCGUAAAGCGUGCGUAGGUGGUUGUUCAAGUCUGUCGUGAAAGCCCUGGGCUCAACCUGGGAAUGGCGAUGGAAACUGGGCGACUAGAGUGCGGUAGAGGAUGGCGGAAUUCCCGGUGUAGCGGUGAAAUGCGUAGAGAUCGGGAGGAACAUCCGUGGCGAAGGCGGCCAUCUGGACCAGCACUGACACUGAGGCACGAAAGCGUGGGGAGCAAACAGGAUUAGAAACCCCGGUAGUCC
This 450-nucleotide ribosomal RNA is filed under the name uncultured bacterium. Its description in RNAcentral is "bacterial SSU rRNA". It matches the Rfam family "Bacterial small subunit ribosomal RNA", at positions 354 to 796 of the family's 1533-position model. The record is from RNAcentral.